Suricata suricatta (meerkat) is the source of this 662-nucleotide long non-coding RNA. RefSeq lists it as uncharacterized. The record is from RefSeq and is a predicted model, not a curated record. Lineage: Eukaryota; Metazoa; Chordata; Mammalia; Carnivora; Herpestidae. The transcript has 3 exons.
AUGACACCAGGAAGCAGCUAAGCUGAGACGAGUACUGGCGCAGGGUGAUUCGUCUUCCAGCUUCACACCUGGAAAUCCUUUCUGAUCCAGCAAUGCGGGAACCAGCAUCCUGGGAAACACGAGCACUGCGCAUCAAACUAUUCGUCACCCCCAAAUCCUGGCUAGGAGGAUGGAAAAUAAGACACACAUGUCCUACAAAACACUGGUGGCUCUGAGACCUGUGUAAUGGAUAUUACCCUUGACUCUGCAAUUAUUAAACUCCAUCCAUACUAAAUAACAGCCUGUGGCUUGGAGACUUCAGCUCAGCUUAAAAGUAAGUGGUUCAGGAAUGGAAGCACGAACCACACCUGUCUAAAGAGAUAUAAGAGAGGACCACUGGAGGCUUCUGGGAAAAGUCCCCUAUUCUUACAAGCAGCAACAGGAAGCCAGGAUAUGUCUGACUCUAGAUGAUCCUAAAGAGGACGCAGACGGGUCCACAUGCAGCAGUCAUCCGGAGUCAAGGAGAACAAUCACAGAAUGAAGUUGUCAUUGUGAAAGGCAGAGCAGACAGAUGGAAACAACCCAGGUUACUGAUCACACUGCUCACCUGUUAGAUGAACCAACACUGAUCCACUCUGUCUCAGGGUGCCAAUUUAUGUCAACCAAUAAAUUUCCUUAUUGUU